RNAcentral lists this ribosomal RNA (460 nucleotides) under uncultured bacterium. Its description in RNAcentral is "partial 16S ribosomal RNA". It matches the Rfam family "Bacterial small subunit ribosomal RNA", at positions 338 to 795 of the family's 1533-position model. The record is from RNAcentral.
CCUACGGGAGGCAGCAGUGAGGAAUAUUGGUCAAUGGGCGCGAGCCUGAACCAGCCAAGUCGCGUGAGGGAGGACGGCCCUACGGGUUGUAAACCUCUUUUGCCGGGGAGCAACGGGCGUCACGCGUGUCGCCACUGAGAGUACCCGGAGAAAAAGCAUCGGCUAACUCCGUGCCAGCAGCCGCGGUAAUACGGAGGAUGCGAGCGUUAUCCGGAUUUAUUGGGUUUAAAGGGUGCGUAGGCGGAUCGUUAAGUCAGGGGUAAAAUUGAGGGGCUAAACCCCUUCCCGCCAUUGAUACUGGCGUUCUAGAGUGGAGGAGAGGUAUGCGGAAUGCGUGGUGUAGCGGUGAAAUGCAUAGAUAUCACGCAGAACACCGAUUGCGAAGGCAGCAUGCCGGCUUCCGACUGACGCUGAAGCACGAAAGCGUGGGGAUCGAACAGGAUUAGAUACCCCUGUAGUC